Molecule: ribosomal RNA, 369 nt
Filed under: uncultured bacterium
Lineage: Bacteria
Description: bacterial SSU rRNA
Rfam family: Bacterial small subunit ribosomal RNA
Source: RNAcentral
AACGAACGCUGGCGGCAGGCCUAAACAUGCAAGUCGAACGCUCUAGCAAUAGAGAGUGGCGCACGGGUGCGUAACACGUGGGAAUAUGCCUUUUGGUACGGAACAACGUUUGGAAACGAACGCUAAUACCGUAUGGUCCCUUCGGGGUAAAGAUUUAUCGCCAAAAGAUUAGCCCGCGCUGGAUUAGCUAGCUGGUGAGGUAAUGGCUCACCAAGGCGACGAUCCAUAGCUGGUCUGAGAGGAUGAUCAGCCACACUGGGACUGAGACACGGCCCAGACUCCUACGGGAGGCAGCAGUUAGGAAUAUUGGACAAUGGACGCAAGUCUGAUCCAGCCAUGCCGCGUGAGCGAUGAAGGCCUGGUUGUAAG